RNAcentral lists this long non-coding RNA (4824 nucleotides) under Lactuca sativa (garden lettuce). RNAcentral describes it as "long non-coding RNA (LSAT_LNC005505)". The record is from RNAcentral. Lineage: Eukaryota; Viridiplantae; Streptophyta; Magnoliopsida; Asterales; Asteraceae.
CUUCUACAAGCCGUAGUGCUGUCCGAUCAUCUUCUAAUCAAGUGAGUGUAUACUACCUUUCAUAAACACGAUAAUAAUACAAGUAUGGUUUGAGUGUAUUAAGUAUAUUGUUGUUUAUAUGCGUGAGUGUGUAGUUACUUUCUUCUAACACAUAAAUAUGAAGUAUUUGCUAUGAAAUACGUGCUAUUUGUCUAUUUGAGAUGGGCGUGGAAUUGAUGUUUUAUACAAGUGUUAAAUGAUUUAAACUGUGUAAGUAUUUAUAUCUACGAAAAUGUUGGGUAGAACUUGGGUAGAUGGGAUAGUUGGUGACUAUGGAGUUAGCGCCUAUUGUAUAAACCUUGGCGACGAUGUGACUUCGUGCCUAAUUGAUGAACCUUGGCGACUAUGGAGUUAGCGCUUGUCGAGUGAGCCUUGGUGACUAUGGAGUUAGCGCCUAUUGUAUAAACCUUGGCGACGAUGUGACUUCGUGCCUAUUUGAUGAACCUUGGCGACUAUGGAGUUAGCGCACGUUGAGUAAACCUUGGCGACUAUGGAGUUAGCGCUUGUUGAGUGAACCUUGGCGACUAUGGAGUUAGCGCUUGUUAAGUGAACCUUGGUGACUAUGGAGUUAGCACCUGAUAGCUAUGGAUUUAGUACUUGAUAAAUAAACUUUGGCAGCAAUGGAUUUCGUGCCAAAUUCCUUAGGAAUAAAUGAAUGAAGGAUAGUUGGUUCUUAGGAUAAAACCUUGAGAAGAUAAUGGGGAUGGGUAAUUGGGUUGAUUGUUUGCUGAUUAAAUAUAACAAUUAUAUUAUUGUGGGUUGAAAACCCUAUAUGCUCACCAGGCUCCCAAGCCUGACCCACUCAGUUUUCUUUUCAUUACAGGUAAUGGCACAAGGGUAUAAGUUGGCGGACUUGACGAGAGAUUUUGGAUUAUAGAUCAGUAGUUAUAAAUAACUAUUGUAAGGUCUAUUUUAUAUUGUUUAUGCUUUUGGUCUGUAUCGAACAUGACAUCCCAAGGUUUUAUUAUUUAAUGAAAAUACAUUCUCUUUGAGAAAUGUUUGGAUAAAUGGUUAUCAUAUUUUUGUUUUUGGGAACAAAUUCCGCAACAGUUUUCUUUAAACGAUUACUCUGAUUUUAAAAACAAAGCAUAAACAAAUCGGUCUUUUCUGGCCGUGAAAUUGGGGAUGUCACAGUUGGUAUCAGAGCAUUAGUUUAAGCGAACUAGGAAUAUGGAUUUAUUUCUAGACUUAAACUUAGAAUGCUAAGCAAUGAUUGUGAGUUGAGUGUGUCCAUUAUAUUUUAGGUAGUACACCUAAAUUGACACAGGCACUAGUUUAUUUUAGGAAAAUUGCCUAAAAUGCUAUUAUGUGCUAAUUGUUAUAUGUUUGCCAUAUAUGAUGUUAAUUGUUCGGAUCUAUGGUCUGUUGCCGACCGGAUCUGGAAACCUUAUGUGUUUAGGAUUCUAAGCGUGCGUCUACGAUAUUAGAACUAGCAUGUAAACGUUUCGGAGUGAUAAGGAUGAUUUGAAUAUCUAUCGUGAAUAAGGAUCUAAUUUCACCUUAUUCGGUGUAUAGAUCAAAAAUGGUGAGAACGAGGAGUGGAGUUGGAAAUGCUGAUGAAAACAGGAAUCAAAUACCAGUGAUUGAACAAAUACCUGUUGUAGCAGCAGCACCUGAACCAAUGACAAUGGCCGGAGUUCAAGUGAUGAUCCAGGCAAUGUUGAAUAAUCAGAUGGAAGAAACCAGACGUCUGAUCAGGCAGAAUCGCGAGGAAUUGUCAAUUCAAGUUGAAGAGCCCGAAGUAAAUGGAGGGCAGUCUGAAGGAGGAAACUACAGUGGGACCGUUGGUCAAGCCAACCCACCAAUAGUUCGCCAAAACAACCAGGAUGGAGGAAAUGACGGACGUGGAUGCAAGUACAAGGAUUUCAUGGCAUCCAAACCACCAUGUCUUUCUGGGAGCCCGACACCGGUGCAAGUCAUGGACUGGAUCUCCGAAAUGGAGACAAUGUUUGAAAGUUGCGAGUGUAGCAACAGACAGAAGACCGCUCUUGCAAUCCCUCUGUUAAAAUCUGGAGUAUUGAGCUGGUGGAAGUUACUGGCUGGUUCGAUGCCUAAGGGGGAAGCUAGCAAGAUGUCUUGGGAAGAAUUCGUGGUGCAACUGAAAUUGCAAUACUGCUCUGAGCAAGAUCUUCUGGAAAUCAACAAUGAGUUCCAGAAUCUGAAGAAAGGAAAAUUGAGCGUUACUGAAUACGCUACGAGCUUUACGGAGAAGAUGAAGCUUAUUCCAUACCUAAUUCCGACUGAACUUUCCAAGGUCAACAAGUUUGCCAAUGGAUUACCAGCGGACUUUGGUCCGAUAGUCAAACAAGCAACCACUCUGAAAGCCGCCAUCUGGGCAGCCAAAAAUGUUGAGACCCAAAUAAAAGAAAAGGGUCUGGAAAGGGCUGAAGUUGGAGAGAAAAGGAAGCGUGAAGGAUCUUCAAUAAUCGACAAAGAAAGUAAAUUCUCGAAAUCUGGGGGAAGAGAUGAAGCUAAGUGGUGUGAGAAGUGUAAGAAGAAACACUUCGGGAAAUGUAGCGAGGAGAUGACUUGCUACAAAUGUGGGAAGACAGGGCACUACGCCAACAAGUGCGCACCUAUCAAGAAGGUGUGCUAUAGGUGUAACGAAGAAGGUCAUAUUUCUAAAGACUGCCCACAGAAAAACACACCUCCACAGCCAAGGGCAUUCAACAUGUUCCUCAACGAAGCAGAAAGGGAUGGGAGGGUUAAAGGAUGAAGACUUCAUAUUAAUAUAUAAAGUCGGUAAAGUCUGUAUCAGGAAGCAUAGCCUGUUAGAGGCAUAGUAUAGGGUGAACUUGAACUUUUGUGUAAUAGUUUCAAGAAUUAAUAUAAAUCCUAGUUUUGUUAUCUGAUGUGUUGAAUGAUUAUAUGAUUUAUGUAUGGUGACUUGGUUAACUGCGAGACAAUACUUGGGACGAGUAUGAGUAGGUGUGAAUGGUAGUAGAGAUCUAUACUACCGGAAGCACAGGACUCACGCUUGGAUCAGGGGAAGUCACAAGGUUAUCAAGAAGCUAGUAAUUGAUUCCGUUUUAUUCAAGUAUGUCAUUACCAUUGUUUCGGUAAUGUCUAGUAAGAUAGUUGUUAUUCCGACCCUAGGGGUCAUAUCAAUUGAGUCCGACUAUGAUGAGAGGUCAUCGGGACACGACCCAUCAGGGUUAUUACUUAGAAUGGAGAGAUAACUUAUGGAGUCAGUAUGCGAAUCCUAUUUCGUUGAUGAUUCCGGGACGUAAUCAUCCUAAGGGGGAGAUAAUUGUAACGCCCGUAGAUCAGGGCUAGUCAAUUUAGAGACAAUAAGAGUCAAAAAUGACUUUUUGAUAGAAGAUUAUUUAGGAUGAAUAAUCCUAACUAAGUUGUAGUAUAUGUUACAAGGUUUCCGUACAUAUAAAGAACGCCAAAAUCCGAGUUAUAACGAAGAAGUUAUGACCUGUCGAAGUUUCGCGACAGAACCGGCACGACACAGCGCGACGUAAAAAGUGAAUUUACGUUAGAGCGAUAUUUAGCCUUAGCAAUCUAAACGAGAAUCGAAGAUCUCGUUGUUGGUAUCGAAGCGAUAAAAAGUUAGGCGAGAACGGACGUCAAACGAAGAAGUUAUGAAUUUAUAACGAAGUUUUCUGUCGCGGCCUAUUAAAAAUAAAUAAUAAAAAUAAAAGUCAAAAUUAGCCGACGGAGUCUAAACGAAAGUUGUAGAGCGUAGUCUCACCUUCGCGUGGAUAUAAAGAACGUCGAAAACGGAGUUCGUAUGAAGAAGAUAUGAAUUUCCGAAGUUUAUUAAUCAAUUUGUAUUUAAAUUUAAAAGGAAAUUCGGAAGCAUUAUCCGAAGGAGUCACCGGUCUGAUCCGAGGUACGCGCCGCGUACUCGAGUACGCCCCGCGUACUCCGAAGUGUCGACAUUCGCAGCAAGUGGCUUCGGAUGACGCACGCAGUGACGUUUUUCGGACCAGUACGCCCCGCGUACUGGCGUACGCCCCGCGUACUCCGAGGCUCCAGCCUCCUAUAAAUAGGAUGCGAGGGCAGCCGACCCAAUUGCCAAUUUCUUCUCUUCUCUCUCCCGUUUUGCAUCGUUUUGCGUGCCAGAAAUACCCCGAAGCCCCGGUAUUAUACCCUAGCCCCGAGGCAAGUCCCGAGAUCCCGAAGAUCCCGAAAAGUGCGGUUCCCGAGUCGAAGCUCUGCCCGCGAGAAGUUUGAUUUUCGAGGAGAUCUUCCAGAUCUGCUGAGGAAUACUACUUCUAUAAGCCGUAGUGCUGUCGGAUCGUCUUCUGAUCAAGUGAGUGUGUAGUUAUUUCUUCUAAUACAAUAAUACGAAGUAUUUUAUAUAAAAAUACGUGCUAUGUGUAUAUAUUUGGUUGUGUUAUGUGUGAAUGAGUAUUCACUCUCUUCUAUCUUAUAGAUCUGCUUAUUUCUUUAUGAGAUAUGUGUUAUGUGUGUGUGUCUCAUCUGUUAUGUGACAUAUGUGUUGAUUAAAGCAUGCUAUACAGGUUUUCUUUAAACUACGUAUACAAAUGUAUAUUUUUAUCUACUAAUAUUGUUGGGUAGAACAUGGGUAGAUGGGUUAGUUGGUGACUAUGGAGUUAGCGCCUGCUGUUAGAUAAACCUUGGUGACUAUGGAGUUAGCGCCUGCUGUUAGAUAAACCUUGGUGACUAUGGAGUUAGCGCCUAUUGUAUAAACCUUGGCGACGAUGUGACUUCGUGCCUAUUUGAUGAACCUUGGCGACUAUGGAGUUAGCGCGCGUUGAGUAAACCUUGGCGACUAUGGAGUUAGCCGUUGUUGAGUGAGCCUUGGCGACU